UACGAAGGGUGCAAACGUUGCUCGGAAUCAUUGGGCGUAAAGCGCACGUAGGCGGCCUUGCAAGUCGGAUGUGAAAUCCCACGGCUCAACCGUGGACGUGCAUCCGAAACUGCUCGGCUCGAGUAUGGAAGAGGGUCGCGGAAUUCCCGGUGUAGAGGUGAAAUUCGUAGAUAUCGGGAGGAACACCAGUGGCGAAGGCGGCGACCUGGGCCAAUACUGACGCUGAGGUGGCGAAAGCGGUGGGGAGCAAACAGGG
RNAcentral lists this ribosomal RNA (256 nucleotides) under uncultured bacterium. RNAcentral describes it as "partial 16S ribosomal RNA". It matches the Rfam family "Bacterial small subunit ribosomal RNA", at positions 524 to 777 of the family's 1533-position model. The record is from RNAcentral.